UUUAAUACCUGCCAAGGGAGAUACCAUAAUCAUGAAGCUGGUUUUCCCAAGGCAAGACUCGUCCAUAACAGCGUGGAUGUGCUGACUCCUGUGGUUUCUCCAAAUGUGGGAAACUUGGCGUAAUUGUGGUCGUGGGGGCUGCACUUACACUCUCCCCUG
This is a small nuclear RNA of Peromyscus maniculatus bairdii (prairie deer mouse), 159 nucleotides long. Its record names the gene U1. It matches the Rfam family "U1 spliceosomal RNA". From Rfam's summary of the family: U1 is a small nuclear RNA (snRNA) component of the spliceosome (involved in pre-mRNA splicing). Its 5' end forms complementary base pairs with the 5' splice junction, thus defining the 5' donor site of an intron. There are significant differences in sequence and secondary structure between metazoan and yeast U1 snRNAs, the latter being much longer (568 nucleotides as compared to 164 nucleotides in human). Lineage: Eukaryota; Metazoa; Chordata; Mammalia; Rodentia; Cricetidae. The record is from Ensembl.